UUACAUUAAUAUAUUUUCCAUCCUUUAACUUUUACCCAACUUUCACAAACAUCUUCAUUUUUAAAAUGGGAUUGUUUUAGAAAAUAUAAUGUUGUUUUGUAUUUUUAUGUAACUGGACAAUUUCUGUCUUAAUGGAAGCAUUUAGAUCAUGGACAUGAAAAUAAAUUUAUAGACAUGCAUUUAAGUCAACUGACUUUCUAGUUGUUUUCCAUGUUUCAUUUUUCUUAUUCCUAACUUUCCUUUUUUUCUGCCUGAUGGUGGAUUUAGUAUUUUUAUCAUUCAGUUAUAUUUUCUAAACUCUUGGCUUAUUACUUAGGUCACUUAAAAAAAAUAGUGCUUGUUCUAGGGUUAACAAAGUUAAUAUUUAAUUCAUCACACUCUAUCCUCAAAGAAUAUUGUACUAGUUAAUGUACAGUUAAAACAUCUUAUGAUAGUAUGCUUACACUUCACUUCAUUCUUUAUCAUAUUUUUAUUACUUUUAGUAAAGUUGUAAUCCCCAUACACAUGUGUUUACACUAUGAAUUAUUUGUGGCUGAUCAAUAAAACAAUAAAAUGCCCUCUGUGUGGACCUCGAAAAUUGGAUACAUAUCUCAGGCAAUUUUGAAAGUUAUUAUAGCCAAGGGUGAGGGUGCGCACCCAUGACAUGGCCUCAGGAGGUACUGGUGACAUGUGUCCAAGGUGGUCUGAGCACAGCUUGGUUUUUAUAUUUAAGAAGACACCAGACAUGGAGCAACAUAUGUAAGUGAACAUUUCUUAAGUCUGGUCUGGAAAGGAUGGAUAACUUGAAGGAAAAGUGAAACGUCUAAAAGGGGAUAGAAGGCUUCCCUGUCACAGGUAGGUGACAGACAGACUAUAGCAUUUUUUGACUUACUGAUUAACCCUUCCAAAGGAGGCAGUCAGAUAUGCAUUUAUCUCAGUGAGCAGAGGAAUGACAAUGAAUAGACUAGGAGCCUGGGUUAUCUUAAGCAGUUCGCAGCUUGAAUUUUCCUUAACUUAGUGAUUUGGGGGCCGAGAUAUUUCCCUUUCACAUCCACAUCUAUAUCUUUACCAUUAUCUGGGUUUGUAAUUCAUUUGUGUAAAUUCACAUUUCUGCCUGUUUUCUGCCUGAGAAAAUGUGUUAACAUAUCUAGUAAUGCAUUUCUACUGGGGUGAAUAAUCGAAAUCUUAUUUGUCUGAAAAAAUUAUGUCAUUUUUGUGUUUAUUAUAGUAAUAACUGUAAGCCCACCGGAAGAAAUAUUUCUCUCUCAAAAUAGUUUUCUAUUUUCUAGCAAAACCAUUUGUUACAGUUCCUGUCUCAGUGCUGAAAUUCCUUAUUUGCUCAUCCCUGAUGUCUACUUUGUCCAACAGUGAUAUGGUUUGCAUCUAUGUUCCCACCCACAUCUCAUAUUGAAUUGUAAUCCCCAAUGUUGGAGGUGGCGCCUGGUGGGAGGUUUUUGGGUCAUGGGAGUAGAAUUCUUAGAUAUGGUCUAGCACCACCUGUGUGGUGCUAUUCUCUUGAUAGUGAGUUCUCAUGAAAAGUGAUUGUUAAAAUGUAUGUAGGAACUCGCCGAUCUCUUCAUCCUGUUCUGGCCAUGUGAGGAGCUAGGUCCUCCCUUGCCUCUUGGAUAUUUGAAAGUUAAAUGAGGCCCUCCUUGCCAUGCAUCCUGUACAGCCUAUAAAACCUGAGCCAUUUACAGAUACCUAAAAAUGUGGAACCAGCUUUUGCACUGGGUAGUAGGCAGAGGUUGAAAGAGUUUGGAGGGCUCAUAGGAAGACGGAAAGAUGAAGGAAAUGUUGAAACUUCCUAAAGACUUGUUUAAUGGGUUGUCACUAGGUGGCUGAUAUGAACACUGAACACCAGGCUGAGGAGGUCACAGAUAGAAAUUAGGAACUUACUUGGAAAUGGAGUAAAGGUCACCUUUGUUAUAGAUUAGAAAAACUAUGGUGGCAUUGUGGCUCUGCCCUAGGGAUUUGGGAACUUCUGAACUUGAGAGUGAUGGUUUCGUGUUUCUGGCAGAAGAAAUUCCUAUGCAGCACAGCAUUCAAGGUCGAGCCUCGUUGCUUCUAAUAGCCCAUGCUCAUGUGUGUCAACAACAACAACAAAAAUGAUGGAAACUGGCACUUAUAUUUAAAAGGAAAGCAGCGUGUAAAGGUUUUGAAAAUUUGCAGUCUGGCCACAGAAAACAGGAAACAAAAUCCUGUUUGCUGGGGAGGAAUUCAAACCAGCUGAAGAAAUCUGCUUAAGUUACAAGGAGCUGAAUGUUAAUGUCCAAGACAAUGGGGAGGCCUCAAAGGCAUUUCAGAGACCUCUGCAGCAGCCCCUCCUUCCAUCACAGGACAUGAAGCCUAGGAGGGGAGAAUGUUUUCAUGGGCCACACACAGGGUCCCAGUGCCCUGUGCAGUGUCUGGAUACAGCUCUCAAUAUCCUGGCCACUCCAGCACCUCUUAUACAUGCUUCAGCCACUGGUUCAUGAGGUGCAAACCAUGAUCCUUGGUGGCUUCCACUUUGUGUUAAGCCUGUGGGUACACAGGGAAAGAGUUGAGGCUUGGGAGCCUCAGCCUAGAUUUCUGAGAAUGUAUGAAGAAGCAUGGAUGUCCAAGCAGAAUUCUGCUACAGGGGUUGGGGGGAGUCCUAAUGGAGAAUCUUGUCUAGGGCAGUGCAGAGGGGAAAUGUGGGGUUAGAGCACCAACACAGAGUCCACACUGGAGAACUUCCCAGUGGAGUUGUGAGAAGAGGGCCACCAUCCUCCAGACCCCAGAAUGGGAGAUCCACUCACAGCUUGUAAUUAUGCCUGGAAAAGGCAUAGGUACUCAGUGCCAGCCAACUGGGGACUGAACCCUGUAAAGUCACAGGGUUAGAGCUGCCCGAGGCUUUGUGAGCCCACCCCUUGCACCAGUGUGCCCUGGAUGUGAAACAAUGAAUUGAAGGAGGUCAUUUGGAGCUUUAAGAUUCAAUGACUUUCCUUCUGGGUUUCAAACUUGCACAGGACCUUAAACUCCUUUCUAUUGGCUGAUUUCUCCAGAGAAUAUACCCAGUGCUUCUACCUCCACUAUGUCUUAGAAGUAAUUAACUUGUUUUUUAUUUUAUAGGCUGACGGGCAGAAGGGAUUAGCCUUGUUCAGAUGAGACCUUGGAUUGGGGACUUUUGAGUUAAUGCAUCAAUGAGUUGCAACUUUGGGGGACUGUUGGGUUUUAUUUUGCAAAGUGAGAAGGAUGUGAGAUUUUGGAGGGGCAAGGGCAGAAAUAUAAGGUUCAGAUCUGUGUCCCUACCCAAAUCUCAGGUUGCACUGUAAUUCUCAAUGUAGGAGGUAGGGCCUGGUGGGAAGUUAUUGGAUCAUAGGGGUGGAAUUCUGGUGGAAUUAAAUAUUGGG
Molecule: long non-coding RNA, 3350 nt
Organism: Sapajus apella (tufted capuchin)
Lineage: Eukaryota; Metazoa; Chordata; Mammalia; Primates; Cebidae
Exons: 3
Source: RefSeq, a predicted model, not a curated record